Molecule: unclassified non-coding RNA, 215 nt
Filed under: soil metagenome
Description: partial contains 5.8S ribosomal RNA, internal transcribed spacer 2, and large subunit ribosomal RNA
Source: RNAcentral
AACGCACGAGACCUGCGGACCUGCGGAGGGAUCAUUACUGAGUUUCACAACUCUCUAACCCUGUGUGAACUGAAGUCUGGUUGCUCAGGCAGGCGGCCCCCGGGGGGAGCCGCAGCUUCUCUGAAGCGCCUGCCGGAGGAUACCUAAACUCGUUUUAACAUAUAAUCUUCUGAGUAAUAAAAAAAAUGAAUCAAAACUUUCAGCAAUGGAUCUCU